This 87-nucleotide transfer RNA is filed under the name Marinospirillum sp. Its description in RNAcentral is "tRNA-Leu". It matches the Rfam family "tRNA". From Rfam's summary of the family: Transfer RNA (tRNA) molecules are approximately 80 nucleotides in length. Their secondary structure includes four short double-helical elements and three loops (D, anti-codon, and T loops). Further hydrogen bonds mediate the characteristic L-shaped molecular structure. tRNAs have two regions of fundamental functional importance: the anti-codon, which is responsible for specific mRNA codon recognition, and the 3' end, to which the tRNAs corresponding amino acid is attached (by aminoacyl-tRNA synthetases). tRNAs cope with the degeneracy of the genetic code in two manners: having more than one tRNA (with a specific anti-codon) for a particular amino acid; and 'wobble' base-pairing, i.e. permitting non-standard base-pairing at the 3rd anti-codon position. Lineage: Bacteria; Pseudomonadati; Pseudomonadota; Gammaproteobacteria; Oceanospirillales; Oceanospirillaceae. The record is from RNAcentral.
GCCGAAGUGGUGGAAUUGGUAGACACGCCAUCUUGAGGGGGUGGUGGCCUUUUGGUCGUGCGGGUUCAAGUCCCGCCUUCGGCACCA